Molecule: ribosomal RNA, 480 nt
Filed under: uncultured bacterium
Lineage: Bacteria
Description: partial 16S ribosomal RNA
Rfam family: Bacterial small subunit ribosomal RNA
Source: RNAcentral
AUUGAACGCUGGCGGAAUGCUUUACACAUGCAAGUCGGACGGUAGAGGGGGCAACCCCUUGAGAGUGGCGAACGGGUGAGUAAUAUAUCGGAACGUGCCCAGUCGUGGGGGAUAACGUAGCGAAAGUUACGCUAAUACCGCAUACGAUCUAAGGAUGAAAGCGGGGGAUCGCAAGACCUCUCUCGACUGGAGCGGCCGAUAUCAGAUUAGGUAGUUGGUAGGGUAAAGGCCUACCAAGCCAACGAUCUGUAGCUGGUCUGAGAGGACGACCAGCCACACUGGAACUGAGACACGGUCCAGACUCCUACGGGAGGCAGCAGUGGGGAAUUUUGGACAAUGGGCGAAAGCCUGAUCCAGCCAUUCCGCGUGCAGGAUGAAGGCCCUCGGGUUGUAAACUGCUUUUGUACAGAACGAAAAGGUUUAUAUUAAUACUAGGAGCUCAUGACGGUACUGUAAGAAUAAGCACCGGCUAACUACGUG